RNAcentral lists this ribosomal RNA (435 nucleotides) under uncultured bacterium. Its description in RNAcentral is "partial 16S ribosomal RNA". It matches the Rfam family "Bacterial small subunit ribosomal RNA", at positions 29 to 507 of the family's 1533-position model. The record is from RNAcentral.
AGCGAACGCUGGCGGCAUGCUUAACACAUGCCAGUCGCACGGAUCUUUCGGGAUCAGUGGCGGACGGGUGAGUAACGCGUAGGGAUCUAUCCAUGGGUGGGGGACAACUCCGGGAAACUGGAGCUAAUACCGCAUGAUACCUGAGGGUCAAAGGCGCAAGUCGCCUGUGGAGGAACCUGCGUUCGAUUAGCUAGUUGGUGGGGUAAAGGCCUACCAAGGCGAUGAUCGAUAGCUGGUUUGAGAGGAUGAUCAGCCACACUGGGACUGAGACACGGCCCAGACUCCUACGGGAGGCAGCAGUGGGGAAUAUUGGACAAUGGGCGAAAGCCUGAUCCAGCAAUGCCGCGUGUGUGAAGAAGGUCUUCGGAUUGUAAAGCACUUUCGACGGGGACGAUGAUGACGGUACCCGUAGAAGAAGCCCCGGCUAACUUCGUG